GCCCUGGUACCCCAACGGCAGAGGGAGCGGAUUCAAAACCCGCACAGUGUGGGUUCAAAUCCCACCCAGGGCA
Molecule: transfer RNA, 73 nt
Filed under: Kribbella kalugense
Lineage: Bacteria; Bacillati; Actinomycetota; Actinomycetes; Propionibacteriales; Kribbellaceae
Also listed under: 2 other names
Description: Kribbella sp. VKM Ac-2570 tRNA-Leu
Rfam family: tRNA
About the family: Transfer RNA (tRNA) molecules are approximately 80 nucleotides in length. Their secondary structure includes four short double-helical elements and three loops (D, anti-codon, and T loops).
Source: RNAcentral